AUGACACACAAAAGUAGGUCAAGUAUGGAGAGUCCCCCCCAAAUUAUGGUUAAUAACAUGGAUAACCACAACAUUGUUGGUGAUACUACAAAACAAAGUAAUAUCAAAAUGUUAAAAGAAAAGGAACUAAUUGAAUAUGUUUCGAAUGCCUUAAAAAGUAGUUUACAUACAUUAGAUAAUUCAUUUUACACUAUUUUAAAAUCGGAAUCUGAUAAAAUAAACACAUUUUUUACUAGAAGAAAGGAUUUAAUUAAUAUAUUAUACAAUAGAAUAGAAGAAUCGGAAAAAAUGGGAUUAUUUUCUGUUGAUGAAAAUGAAAGCAAUAUAAGUAAUGGAGAUGGGUCGUUAAAUAUGCAUGACCUGGACGUUACAGAAAACGAGACUUCCGAAUUACAUCGAUUGAAUAAACUGGAUGAAAAUAAUACCUUAGAAGUGAAUAAUCUUUUACAUAAUAUUACUAGUCGAAAUAAAAAAUUAAAAAACGUAAUUGAAGGGUUAAUAAAAUCAUAUACAAAUUUAAAAAUAAUAAAAAUGAAAAAUGAAAAAAAAAUCAAUGUUUAUAAAAGUAGAGAAAAGGAUUUAUUACAAGCUUUGAAUAUAUUAAAAGAAAGAGAAAAUAAAAAAAUUAAUUUAUUAAAAAAAAAAGAAAAAUAUUACAAACAAAUUUUACUAGAAAAAGAAGAAUUUUUUAAAAAAGAAAAAAAUAAAAAUAAAGAAAAAAUGUUAUUACAAAUGAGAGAUAAAGAUAUAUUAUUACAAAAUGAGAUACAAAAAAUUGAAAAAGAAUGUGAAAAAAAAAUAAAUGCCAUUAAAGAUGAAUAUAUAAAAAAACAAAAUGAAAAUAUUAUAACAUUAGAAAAUGAAAAAAAUGAAUUUAUAAAUAAUACAUUAGAAAAGGAAUUAAACAAAAUGAAAGAAGUGUUAAGUUUAAAUUAUGAAGAAGAAAUGAAAAAAAAAGUCGAAGAAGUAAAAGAAAUUGCAGAAAAUAAUUAUAAUGCAAAAUUAGAAAAAUAUAAAGAAAAACAUGAAAAGAAUAAAAAUGAUUUUAUAAAUAAUUUAAUUAUUGAAAAGAAUAACGAAAUUGAAAAAUUAAAAAAUGAAAUAGAAAAUGAAAAAUUAAAAGAAAUGGAUGAAUUAAAAAAAACAAAUGAACAAUUGUUAAAUGAAAAUGUGGAAAAGGUAAAAAAUGAAUUAUUAGCCGAACACACAGAAAAAGUAAAUAUUACUACAAAAGAAAUUGAAUUAUUAAAAAAUGAGAUAAAACAAAAAAGUGAAGAGAUUGAAAAUGUAAAACAACAAUUAGAACAAUAUUAUACCAACGAAAUGGAAGUAUUAAAAAUGGAUUUACAAAAAAGUUAUGAAAAUACAAUCGAAGGUUUGAUAGCUGAAACAGUUAAAAAUGAAAAGGAAAAAAUGACUUUAUAUUAUGAAGAAAAAUUACAAACAGUACAAACAACAUUUCAAACAACAUUGGAUAUACAACAAAAAGAAUUAUAUGAAAAAUUAAAUUCGGAAAAAAUCAUAGAAGUAGAAAAAUUAAAUAAACAAAUAAAUAAUUUAGAAACACAAAUCGAAUCAUUAAAUAAAGAGAAAAAUGAUUUACUAAUAAAUGUAUCAUUGUUAACAAAAGAAAAAAAUAAUAUAUUAAAUAUGGUUCAAAAUUUAGAAGAUAAUAUAAAAAAUAAUGAAGAUAUAUAUAGUAAAAAUUUAAAAAUAUUAAAUGAUGAAAAUGAUAAACUUCAAAAAGAAAAAAAUGAAAUAUUACAAAAACAAAAAAAAGAAUCAGAAGAAAUAAGAGAACAGUUUGGUGAAUUAUUAGAAGAAGAAAUUAAAAGAAUAAAAAAUGAGUCCCAGCAAAAAGUAAAUAAUUAUUCACAAAAAUAUGAACAAAUAAAUGAAGAAUAUGAAAUGAAAAAAAAAGAAUAUACAGAGUUAUUAGAAAAAGUUAAUAAUAAAAAUAAAGAAUUGACUAUUAAAUAUGAGGAAAAUAUACAAAAAAUAAAUGAGUAUGAAGAUUUAAUUAAAACUUUAGAAAAUCAAACAAAAGAAAUUGUACAAAAAAAAAUUGAACAAUUAAAUGAUGAAUUUUUAAAAAAAAAAAAAACAUUGAUAAUGAAAAAAUAG
This is a long non-coding RNA of Piliocolobus tephrosceles (Ugandan red Colobus), 2124 nucleotides long. Lineage: Eukaryota; Metazoa; Chordata; Mammalia; Primates; Cercopithecidae. The record is from Ensembl.